RNAcentral lists this ribosomal RNA (253 nucleotides) under uncultured bacterium. RNAcentral describes it as "partial 16S ribosomal RNA". It matches the Rfam family "Bacterial small subunit ribosomal RNA", at positions 524 to 776 of the family's 1533-position model. The record is from RNAcentral.
UACGGGGGGGGCAAGCGUUGUUCGGAAUUACUGGGCGUAAAGGGCUCGUAGGUGGCCAACUAAGUCGGACGUGAAAUCCCUCAGCUUAACUGGGGAACUGCGUCUGAUACUGGAUGGCUUGGAUUCGGGAGAGGGAUGCGGAAUUCCAGGUGUAGCGGUGAAAUGCGUAGAUAUCUGGAGGAAUACCGGUGGCGAAGGCGGCAUCCUGGACCGGCAUUGACGCUGAGGAGCGAAAGCCAGGGGAGCAAACGGG